AUGAGCCACAGGAGGCAUGAAAUGUAUCCUCAGAUCUCUCCUAAUUUCCCAUGACCAUGAGAGAGUCAUAUAAUCUGUAUGAGCCUGUCUUCCCAAAACCUGAGAUGAGAACAGUUGACUAGAGCUUUCUAAGGAAAGCUCUGUAGACAACGAUUGUAACAGAACUGAGAAAGUGAAACCGAAAAGUGGAAAUACAACUCUAGUGCCCUGAGGAAGAUGAUGAAUGAGUUAAGGGUCUCCAUGUCCUGUGUCUUGUGAUACCAGUUCCUCUGGCCUCCUGUUUCAUCCUGUGACUAAGAAAGCCUAACCUCUUGGGAAUGCAGCUCAGUGGAUCUCAGCCUUAUUUCACCUGGCCUCUAUUCAAGAUGGAAUCAUUCUGGUUCCAACACCUCUGACAUUAACACUCAAGAUUAGAUAAAUUCCAGCAUCAGUGGCAUUUGUAGAACAUAAUCUUUAAAAUAUCUACUGUUUAGAAAUAAUACUUAUAAGAAUAAAAGAAGGCCGGGCACGGUGGCUCACGCCUGUAAUCCCAGCACUUUGGGAGGCCAAGGCGGGUGGAUCACUUGAGACCAGGAGUUCAAAACCAGCCUGGCCAACAUGGUGAAAUCUCAUCUCUACUAAAAAUUAAAAUAUACAUAUUAGCCAGACAUGGUCGUGCACACCUCUAAUCACAGCUACUCGAGUGGCUGAGACAUGAGAAUUGCUUGAAUCUGGAGAUGGAGGUUGCUGU
Molecule: long non-coding RNA, 730 nt
Organism: Pan troglodytes (chimpanzee)
Lineage: Eukaryota; Metazoa; Chordata; Mammalia; Primates; Hominidae
Exons: 3
Source: RefSeq, a predicted model, not a curated record